This 460-nucleotide ribosomal RNA is filed under the name uncultured bacterium. Its description in RNAcentral is "partial 16S ribosomal RNA". It matches the Rfam family "Bacterial small subunit ribosomal RNA", at positions 338 to 795 of the family's 1533-position model. The record is from RNAcentral.
CCUACGGGGUGCAGCAGUGAGGAAUCUUGGUCAAUGGGCGCGAGCCUGAACCAGCCAAGUAGCGUGAAGGAUGACUGCCCUACGGGUUGUAAACUUCUUUUAUAAAGGAAUAAAGUGAGGCACGUGUGCCUUUUUGUAUGUACUUUAUGAAUAAGGAUAGGCUAACUCCGUGCCAGCAGACGCGGUAAUACGGAGGAUCCGAGCGUUAUCCGGAUUUAUUGGGUUUAAAGUGAGCGUAGAUGGGUUGUUAAGUCAGUUGUGAAAGUUUGCGGCUCAACCGUAAAAUUGCAAUUGAUACUGGCAGCCUUGAGUACAGUUGAGGUAGGCGGAAUUCGUGGUGUAGCGGUGAAAUGCUUAGAUAUCACGAAGAACUCCGAUGGCGAAGGCAGCUUACUAAACUGUAACUGACAUUGAUGCUCGAAAGUGUGGGUAGCAAACAGGAUUAGAUACCCCUGUAGUC